GGGUGCGAUCAUACCAGCAUUAAUGCACCAGAUCCCUUCAUAAAUCCUCAGUAAAGCAUGCUUGGGUGAGAGUAGUAUUAGGAUGGGUGACCUCCUAGGAAGUUGUUGUGUAGCAUCUC
This 119-nucleotide ribosomal RNA is filed under the name Vitis vinifera (wine grape). Lineage: Eukaryota; Viridiplantae; Streptophyta; Magnoliopsida; Vitales; Vitaceae. The record is from RNAcentral.